Long non-coding RNA from Serinus canaria (Common canary), 2794 nucleotides. RefSeq lists it as uncharacterized. NCBI's taxonomy places the organism in Eukaryota, Metazoa, Chordata, Aves, Passeriformes, Fringillidae. The transcript is spliced from 7 exons. The record is from RefSeq and is a predicted model, not a curated record.
UGUUCCUAAGUCCUUCCUAUUUGUUUUGACCUUCAGCGGGGAUCAAUUUUUGCCAGCCUUGGUGAAUGUCCUGCAUGUCCCUGCCCUUGAUGCCAUGCCAUGCCUUUUGAUGGCUUUGAUGUGGAACAAGAUUUUUUUUUCCUAUUUUUUUUUUUUUAAAUAUCCAUGCCAUUUCCCUCUUAUCUUCCCCUCCAAGUUGUGUCUGCCUCCUUCACUUUUCCCCUGAUUUUGGAACAGCUGUGAGGUGAGUUUUGGCCUCCUUUGGUCCUUUGCACUGCACAUCAUUUCAGCCCAGACUACUUUCUUGUAGUCACUAAAUCUCCCCAUUUUCCAAUUUUUGGGGGUUUUUUUCAAUUGCAUUUCUUUUGAUCAUAUCUCCUUUCUGGAGUGUUUGUAAGCCUUUCUUUUCAGGGUCGCAAGAUUUCGUUUCCCGUCCCGAAAGGAAAUUUCCUUUCGGGACGGGAAACGAAAUCUUGCGAUUUCAAUGGGAAUCAAAGGGGCAAGCUUUGGUGCAAGUCCCAGCACUUGACAGCAUGCCAUGCCUUUUGAUGGCUUUUACAUUGGCCAAGAUUUUUUUUCUUUUUUUUUUUUUUUUCAAGUAUCCAUGCCAUGUCUCUCCUAUCUUCCCCUCCAACUUGUGUCUGCCUCCUUGACUUUUCCCCUGCUUUUGCAACAGCUGUGAAGUGAGUUUUGGCCUCUUUUUGUGGUUUGCACUGUACUACAUUUUGGCCCAGACCACUUUCUUGUAGUCUCUAAAUUUCAAAAUUUUUUUUUUUGUCUCCUUCAAUUUCAUUUCUUUGGAUGCUAUCUCUAUUCCAUAGUGUUCCUAAGUCCUUCUUAUUUGUUUUGACCUUCAGCGGGGAUCAAUUUUGGCCAGCCUUGGUGAAUGUCCUGCAUGUCCCUGCCCUUGAUGCCAUGCCAUGCCUUUUGAUGGCUUUGAUGUGGAACAAGAUUUUUUUUUCCUAUUUUUUUUUUUUAAAUAUCCAUGCCAUUUCCCUCUUAUCUUCCCCUCCAAGUUGUGUCUGCCUCCUUCACUUUUCCCCUGAUUUUGGAACAGCUGUGAGGUGAGUUUUGGCCUCCUUUGGUCCUUUGCACUGCACAUCAUUUCCACCCAGACCACUUUCUUGUAGUCACUAAAUUUCAAAAAUUUUUUUUUUCUCUCCUUCAAUUUCAUUUCUUUGGAUGCUAUCUCUAUUCCAGAAUGUUCCUAAGUCCUUCUUAUUUGUUUUGACCUUCAGCGGGGAUCAAUUUUGGCCAGCCUUGGUCUAUGUCCUGCAUGUCCCUGCCCUUGAUGCCGUGCCAUGCCUUUUGAUGGCUUUGAUGUGGAACAAGAUUUUUUUUUUCCUUUUUUUUUUUUUAAAUAUCGAUGCCAUUUCCCUCUUAUCUUCCCCUCCAAGUUGUGUCUGCUUCCUUCACUUUUCCCCUGCUUUUGGAACAGCUGUGAGGUGAGUUUUGGCCUCCUUUGGUCCUUUGCACUGCACAUCAUUUCCACCCAGACCACUUUCUUGUAGUCACUAAAUUUCAAAAAUUUUUUUUUUCUCUCCUUCAAUUUCAUUUCUUUGGAUGCUAUCUCUAUUCCAGAAUGUUCCUAAGUCCUUCUUAUUUGUUUUGACCUUCAGCGGGGAUCAAUUUUGGCCAGCCUUGGUGAAUGUCCUGCAUGUCCCUGCCCUUGAUGGCUUGCCAUGCCUUUUGAUGGCUUUGAUGUGGAACAAGAUUUUUUUUUUCCUUUUUUUUUUUUUAAGUAUCGAUGCCAUGUCCCUCUUAUCUUCCCCUCCAAGUUGUGUCUGCCUCCUUCACUUUUCCCCUGCUUUUGGAACAGCUGUGAGGUGAGUUUUGGCCUCCUUUGGUCCUUUGCACUGCACAUCAUUUCCGCCCAGACUACUUUCUUGUAGUCACUAAAUCUCCCCAUUUUCCAUUUUUUGGGGGUUUUUUUCAAUUGCAUUUCUUUUGAUCAUAUCUCCUUUCUGGAGUGUUUGUAAGCCUUUCUUUUCAGGGUCGCAAGAUUUCGUUUCCCGUCCCGAAAGGAAAUUUCCUUUCGGGACGGGAAACGAAAUCUUGCGAUUUCAAUGGGAAUUAAAGGGGCAAGCUUUGGUGCAAGUCCCAGCACUUGACAGCAUGCCAUGCCUUUUGAUGGCUUUUACAUUGGCCAAGAUUUUUUUUCUUUUUUUUUUUUUUUUUCAAGUAUCCAUGCCAUGUCUCUCCUAUCUUCCCCUCCAAGUUGUGUCUGCCUCCUUGACUUUUCCCCUGCUUUUACAACAGCUGUGAAGUGAGUUUUGGCCUCUUUUUGAGGUUUGCACUGUACUUCAUUUUGGCCCAGACCACUUUCUUGUAGUCACUAAAUUUCAAAAAUUUUUUUUUCUCUCCUUCAAUUUCAUUUCUUUGGAUGCUAUCUCUAUUCCAGAGUGUUCCUAAGUCCUUCUUAUUUGUUUUGACCUUCAGCGGGGAUCAAUUUUGGCCAGCCUUGGUGAAUGUCCUGCAUGUCCCUGCCCUUGAUGCCGUGCCAUGCCUUUUGAUGGCUUUGAUGUGGAACAAGAUUUUUUUUUCCUUUUUUUUUUUUUAAAUAUCCAUGCCAUUUCCCUCUUAUCUUCCCCUCCAAGUUGUGUCUGCCUCCUUCACUUUUCCCCUGAUUUUGGAACAGCUGUGAGGUGAGUUUUGGCCUCCUUUGGUCCUUUGCACUGCACAUCAUUUCCACCCAGACCACUUUCUUGUAGUCACUAAAUUUCAAAAAUUUUUUUUUUCUCUCCUUCAAUUUCAUUUCUUUGGAUGCUAUCUCUAUUCCAGAGUGUUCCUAAGU